UGAUCUGUGGUGUAACGGUUAGCACACGAGACUUUGACUCUCGGGGAAGAGGUUCGGUUCCUCUCAGAUCUACUA
RNAcentral lists this transfer RNA (75 nucleotides) under Kordia sp. SMS9. RNAcentral's name for it is "tRNA-Gln". It matches the Rfam family "tRNA". Rfam says of the family: Transfer RNA (tRNA) molecules are approximately 80 nucleotides in length. Their secondary structure includes four short double-helical elements and three loops (D, anti-codon, and T loops). Lineage: Bacteria; Pseudomonadati; Bacteroidota; Flavobacteriia; Flavobacteriales; Flavobacteriaceae. The record is from RNAcentral.